This 312-nucleotide unclassified non-coding RNA is filed under the name Hevea brasiliensis (rubber tree). Lineage: Eukaryota; Viridiplantae; Streptophyta; Magnoliopsida; Malpighiales; Euphorbiaceae. The record is from RNAcentral.
CUCCCUCUUUACUACCUGGCUGAAAAACACGAAUCAUUUCAAACUCCUUAUUCUGGUGCCUCCAACUCCACCUUCUUAUUAACAUAAUCCAGGUACCCCUGAAGUAUCCCAACAGCAGCAAACUUGUCAGUUAUGGUUUUUGCUAGAACUGGAUGCAAAUCUAAAGGCUUUACCAGUAAUUCCACAUUCUUUGAUGUAAAGCACUCAUCCCAAUAUGUGUAUUUUAAAUCUUCAAGUUUCCCUGUUUUAGAGAGAUCAUCGACGAAAAGCUUCACAUGCAAAGCGUCAGGAGCAGUUCGGGCUCGGCCUCUU